Molecule: unclassified non-coding RNA, 239 nt
Filed under: plant metagenome
Description: partial contains small subunit ribosomal RNA and internal transcribed spacer 1
Rfam family: Eukaryotic small subunit ribosomal RNA (bases 1-46)
Source: RNAcentral
AAGUCGUAACAAGGUUUCCGUAGGUGAACCUGCGGAAGGAUCAUUAAAAGUGAUUGGUUAUACAUUUCAUGUAUCAACUGCAUUAACCCAUUCCGAGUACCUUGCCUGUUGCUUCCAUGGGGCCUGACCUAGGUCACUCUUGUGAUGUGAAACCCAAGAGAGUCCCCAUGGGAGGUAACCCAAUUAAAAUUUCAGAUCCCAAUGUCUUCUGCUGAAACUGUUUUAAAACAAUGUUAAAA